GGGUUGUGAGGUUAAGCGACUAAGCGUACACGGUGGAUGCCCUGGCAGUCAGAGGCGAUGAAGGACGUGCUAAUCUGCGAUAAGCGUCGGUAAGGUGAUAUGAACCGUUAUAACCGGCGAUUUCCGAAUGGGGAAACCCAGUGUGAUUCGUCACACUAUCAUUAACUGAAUCCAUAGGUUAAUGAGGCGAACCGGGGGAACUGAAACAUCUAAGUACCCCGAGGAAAAGAAAUCAACCGAGAUUCCCCCAGUAGCGGCGAGCGAACGGGGAGGAGCCCAGAGCCUGAAUCAGUGUGUGUGUUAGUGGAAGCGUCUGGAAAGGCGCGCGAUACAGGGUGACAGCCCCGUACACAAAAAUGCACAUGCUGUGAGCUCGAUGAGUAGGGCGGGACACGUGGUAUCCUGUCUGAAUAUGGGGGGACCAUCCUCCAAGGCUAAAUACUCCUGACUGACCGAUAGUGAACCAGUACCGUGAGGGAAAGGCGAAAAGAACCCCGGCGAGGGGAGUGAAAAAGAACCUGAAACCGUGUACGUACAAGCAGUGGGAGCACGCUUAGGCGUGUGACUGCGUACCUUUUGUAUAAUGGGUCAGCGACUUAUAUUCUGUAGCAAGGUUAACCGAAUAGGGGAGCCGAAGGGAAACCGAGUCUUAACUGGGCGUUAAGUUGCAGGGUAUAGACCCGAAACCCGGUGAUCUAGCCAUGGGCAGGUUGAAGGUUGGGUAACACUAACUGGAGGACCGAACCGACUAAUGUUGAAAAAUUAGCGGAUGACUUGUGGCUGGGGGUGAAAGGCCAAUCAAACCGGGAGAUAGCUGGUUCUCCCCGAAAGCUAUUUAGGUAGCGCCUCGUGAAUUCAUCUCCGGGGGUAGAGCACUGUUUCGGCAAGGGGGUCAUCCCGACUUACCAACCCGAUGCAAACUGCGAAUACCGGAGAAUGUUAUCACGGGAGACACACGGCGGGUGCUAACGUCCGUCGUGAAGAGGGAAACAACCCAGACCGCCAGCUAAGGUCCCAAAGUCAUGGUUAAGUGGGAAACGAUGUGGGAAGGCCCAGACAGCCAGGAUGUUGGCUUAGAAGCAGCCAUCAUUUAAAGAAAGCGUAAUAGCUCACUGGUCGAGUCGGCCUGCGCGGAAGAUGUAACGGGGCUAAACCAUGCACCGAAGCUGCGGCAGCGACGCUUAUGCGUUGUUGGGUAGGGGAGCGUUCUGUAAGCCUGUGAAGGUGUACUGUGAGGUAUGCUGGAGGUAUCAGAAGUGCGAAUGCUGACAUAAGUAACGAUAAAGCGGGUGAAAAGCCCGCUCGCCGGAAGACCAAGGGUUCCUGUCCAACGUUAAUCGGGGCAGGGUGAGUCGACCCCUAAGGCGAGGCCGAAAGGCGUAGUCGAUGGGAAACAGGUUAAUAUUCCUGUACUUGGUGUUACUGCGAAGGGGGGACGGAGAAGGCUAUGUUGGCCGGGCGACGGUUGUCCCGGUUUAAGCGUGUAGGCUGGUUUUCCAGGCAAAUCCGGAAAAUCAAGGCUGAGGCGUGAUGACGAGGCACUACGGUGCUGAAGCAACAAAUGCCCUGCUUCCAGGAAAAGCCUCUAAGCAUCAGGUAACAUCAAAUCGUACCCCAAACCGACACAGGUGGUCAGGUAGAGAAUACCAAGGCGCUUGAGAGAACUCGGGUGAAGGAACUAGGCAAAAUGGUGCCGUAACUUCGGGAGAAGGCACGCUGAUAUGUAGGUGAAGUCCCUCGCGGAUGGAGCUGAAAUCAGUCGAAGAUACCAGCUGGCUGCAACUGUUUAUUAAAAACACAGCACUGUGCAAACACGAAAGUGGACGUAUACGGUGUGACGCCUGCCCGGUGCCGGAAGGUUAAUUGAUGGGGUCAGCGCAAGCGAAGCUCUUGAUCGAAGCCCCGGUAAACGGCGGCCGUAACUAUAACGGUCCUAAGGUAGCGAAAUUCCUUGUCGGGUAAGUUCCGACCUGCACGAAUGGCGUAAUGAUGGCCAGGCUGUCUCCACCCGAGACUCAGUGAAAUUGAACUCGCUGUGAAGAUGCAGUGUACCCGCGGCAAGACGGAAAGACCCCGUGAACCUUUACUAUAGCUUGACACUGAACAUUGAGCCUUGAUGUGUAGGAUAGGUGGGAGGCUUUGAAGUGUGGACGCCAGUCUGCAUGGAGCCGACCUUGAAAUACCACCCUUUAAUGUUUGAUGUUCUAACGUGGACCCGUAAUCCGGGUUGCGGACAGUGUCUGGUGGGUAGUUUGACUGGGGCGGUCUCCUCCUAAAGAGUAACGGAGGAGCACGAAGGUUGGCUAAUCCUGGUCGGACAUCAGGAGGUUAGUGCAAUGGCAUAAGCCAGCUUGACUGCGAGCGUGACGGCGCGAGCAGGUGCGAAAGCAGGUCAUAGUGAUCCGGUGGUUCUGAAUGGAAGGGCCAUCGCUCAACGGAUAAAAGGUACUCCGGGGAUAACAGGCUGAUACCGCCCAAGAGUUCAUAUCGACGGCGGUGUUUGGCACCUCGAUGUCGGCUCAUCACAUCCUGGGGCUGAAGUAGGUCCCAAGGGUAUGGCUGUUCGCCAUUUAAAGUGGUACGCGAGCUGGGUUUAGAACGUCGUGAGACAGUUCGGUCCCUAUCUGCCGUGGGCGCUGGAGAACUGAGGGGGGCUGCUCCUAGUACGAGAGGACCGGAGUGGACGCAUCACUGGUGUUCGGGUUGUCAUGCCAAUGGCACUGCCCGGUAGCUAAAUGCGGAAGAGAUAAGUGCUGAAAGCAUCUAAGCACGAAACUUGCCCCGAGAUGAGUUCUCCCUGACUCCUUGAGAGUCCUGAAGGAACGUUGAAGACGACGACGUUGAUAGGCCGGGUGUGUAAGCGCAGCGAUGCGUUGAGCUAACCGGUACUAAUGAACCGUGAGGCUUAACCUUACAACGCCGAAGGUGUUU
This 2931-nucleotide ribosomal RNA is filed under the name Escherichia coli. Its description in RNAcentral is "23S ribosomal RNA". It matches the Rfam family "Bacterial large subunit ribosomal RNA". The record is from RNAcentral. Lineage: Bacteria; Pseudomonadati; Pseudomonadota; Gammaproteobacteria; Enterobacterales; Enterobacteriaceae.